Paramuricea clavata is the source of this 73-nucleotide non-coding RNA. NCBI's taxonomy places the organism in Eukaryota, Metazoa, Cnidaria, Anthozoa, Malacalcyonacea, Plexauridae. The record is from the annotation of a GenBank genome assembly.
GACCGUGUAGCUCAGUUGGCAGAGCAUUGGGCUAGUAUUCCAAAGGUCGUAGGUUCGAAUCCCACCGUGGCCA